Molecule: small nucleolar RNA, 99 nt
Organism: Hibiscus syriacus
Lineage: Eukaryota; Viridiplantae; Streptophyta; Magnoliopsida; Malvales; Malvaceae
Product: small nucleolar RNA snoR27
Exons: 1
Source: RefSeq, a predicted model, not a curated record
UUUGGAUCAAAGAUUGAAACUUUAUACUGCGUUAUCUAUCUGAUCAUACCUUCUUUGCGAGGAACUGAAGAUAACACUAAUCUCAUACUGAGAUCCAGU